Molecule: ribosomal RNA, 387 nt
Filed under: uncultured bacterium
Lineage: Bacteria
Description: partial 16S ribosomal RNA
Rfam family: Bacterial small subunit ribosomal RNA
Source: RNAcentral
AUACGUAGGGGGCGAGCGUUGUCCGGAAUGACUGGGCGUAAAGGGCGUGUAGGCGGUUGAAUAAGUCUGGGGUGAAAGUCCCGGUUUCAAGUUGGGGACUGCUUUGGAUAAUGUUCAACUUUAGUGCGGAAGAGGUAAGUGGAAUUUCCAGUGUAGCGGUGAAAUGCGUAGAGAUUGGGAGGAACACCAGUGGCGAAGGCGACUUACUGGGCCGUAACUGACGCUGAGGCGCGAAAGCGUGGGGAGCGAACAGGAUUAGAUACCCUGGUAGUCCACGCGGUAAACGAUGAAUGCUAGGUGUUGCGGGUAUCGACCCCUGCAGUGCCGGAGUAAACACAAUAAGCAUUCCGCCUGGGGAGUACGGCCGCAAGGUUGAAACUCAAAUGA